CAAUACAGAAACAGAAGAAUCCCUAGGAGGCUGCUGAUUAUAUUAGAAGCUGAGGUUCCAAUUGAGGCACCUUUUGGUGGCACAAAUUAUUGCCUUCAGUAUAUUAUUGAAAUCCACUAGUAUGAAUCUAAAACAUGUUUACCCACGGAUGCUGGGGCUUCAUGUUGGCACUUUAUGGUCUAUUUGGGUAAUAUGAUUUGAGCACAAUAUUAGAUUGCAUGUUUUUGCUGCUGCUGGGUAAUCUAGGACCUGAUCUGAUCCAAAUUUGACCAAAUAAAUAUAACGAUCGGAUUACAUGUGAACCAACUUAUUUGCUUCUGUAUUCAUUUGUCCAUUUGCACACAUAUAAUGGCUGAUAUACCGCAUGGCUGGCUUCUCCAUUAUGUUCUCUUACUAGUUAUAUGGUUUUUCUUUUCUUUGUUGCUUAUGUCACUCGUACAGGUUCGAGUAAAUGGUUCAGACACAGAGCCAGUUUAUCAAUUUCUUAAAGCAAGCAAAACUGGUAUAUUGGGUUCUCGAAUAAAGUGGAAUUUUACCAAGUUUCUAGUCGAUAAGGAGGGCAAAGUGAUUGGCCGAUAUGGGCCAACAACUGCCCCAUUGUCCAUUGAGAAAGACAUCCAGAAAGCAUUAGGAGAGAUUUAGCAGUCUUCUGUUCAGACUGGGGAGAGAAUGGUCUUCUGUUCAGACUGGUGUACCAUCCUUUGCAUGAAUAUAUAUGCAUACAUUGCUGUUUUGUUCAUAUGACCAUUUGAUCAUUAUUUCGUGCUCUGACUUUUAUUAUUUGCAAAUAGAGUCGCUUUUAUGGGUUUGGUCAUCUUCUUGUGCCUUUUGUCCUAGAGAUGUACAUGUUUGAGUUUGUGAACUGUCAAAUGUCAUUGACCUGCAUUUGGUUUUGGUAUAUUUUGAAAGCAGAAGCCAGUAAAUGGAUGUAAACUGAACCAUAUCCCAGCAUCCAUUGCAUCUUAUUACUGAAUGGGAGUCCCCAAAAAGGUUCUUUCUGAUUCAUUCAGCAUUCAAGCCACGUUUGAUACUUUGGAGCAGUCUACGUUUGAUCCGGGCUGGUGGAACCUGCCAUAUUUCUCAGCAAACAUGCAAACAUGAAGCAUCUUUCCUGCUGUUGUAUAAGAUUUUGCCGAUUUCACCAGCUGCGAGUUCCAUUAUAUUCCGUUUGCUUGGAAAUUGGUUCAAAAUUACUAGUUCAAAACAGUUGGGAGUUCCAUUGCAGAAAAUGUCGAGGCAGUUGCACACAAAAUCUGUUCCACCAAGUAUUUGUAGGGUAUCCACAUUAACAUCAAUGGAUAUCUUUUCAUUGAUACUUCGGCUUUUUUCAGUGCCUGGGUGUUACCAAACAGUGAUCAGAACGUAAGCUUUAAGCAGCAGUUUGGGUUUAAAUUUGCUGAAGAUAACAUUAAGGCCAUAGUAAAAUUUGUUCAUAAUAUUGUCUGAGGCCCUAAUUCAAGCUUUGGGUGCAGCGAGAUAUUGGGGUGCCAGCACGGUUAUUUUGAUGUUUUCUGGCAAGUACUUUCACCUUUUUCAUUGAUAGAAGAUGGAAUCAUCAGGACCGUCUCUGGAAAGGCCCCCAUCAAAUUUAUUGGUGCUGGCAGGAUUCACACAAACCUUCUUUGCCAAUGUCUAAUAUGAUAUCAGACCGAGUCAAGACCGCUCAAUCCAUAUCCGCCCAUGGGUAGACAUUCAUUCAUCUAAUCUUAGAGAUAGAUAAAACUAUUAGAUUCUCCCCUAUUUAUUAUUAUUGAGGUCCGUUCUUAUAGAAUUCAGGUAAUAUUCCUUUUCUACAUAGAAGAGAUUGUAACUUUUUUUAGAUAGUUAUUACUACUAGAAAUAAUCACAAAAAACUAAAAUUUUCUUGGAGUUA
Phoenix dactylifera (date palm) is the source of this 1873-nucleotide non-coding RNA. The record is from RefSeq and is a predicted model, not a curated record. Lineage: Eukaryota; Viridiplantae; Streptophyta; Magnoliopsida; Arecales; Arecaceae.